RNAcentral lists this long non-coding RNA (1966 nucleotides) under Lactuca sativa (garden lettuce). Its description in RNAcentral is "long non-coding RNA (LSAT_LNC007247)". The record is from RNAcentral. Lineage: Eukaryota; Viridiplantae; Streptophyta; Magnoliopsida; Asterales; Asteraceae.
CUAUAGCCUCGAGAGGCGUACGUGUUGUAUGUGGUAUUUUGGGGAACUCACUAAGCCUUGUGAUUACAGUGUUUGUGUGAUGUGUUUCAGGUACCAGUGAGGAUCGUGGGAAGUCGCCGACAUGACCAGUACACACUAUUGGAGUUUCAUGUGUUUGAUCUUGGGAUGUGAUUUUAUGGAAUUGUUAUGUGAACAUUGAGAAUUGGAAUCUUUUAUGAAUAAAAUCGCAUUAUUAAAAAGUGAAAAAUUGUUUUAAAUUUUACGAUGUUACAAGUUAGUAUCAGAGCCUUGGUUUGAGGGAUUCGGAUGCACCUUCGGGUGUGUCUGCACUCAAACUGAGGAUUUGAGAAAGUUUAAAUAAAAUAAACAGUUUUUCUAAAGAAGUAUGAGUCGAUACUUGAGCAUUUUGAGGAGGGAUAUCCGUGAGUUCGUGGCGAACUCGUCAUACCGGACAUUUGUCGAGCUCUAGGCAAAUGCCCGUAAGAGGGAGAUUGAGCUGGAGACUCAGGUCAGGGAGGAGGCCGAGUCUCAGAGGAGGGACAGGCGACCGACACAGGCGCAGCCGGCAGCCAAGCGGACAAAGCCCGCUGAUUCGAGAUCUGGGGGUCCGAAGGACCGUACUUGUGGGAAGUGCGGCAAGAGCCAUGAGGGAGUGCUCAGAGCUAGGUUGUGUUACAAGUAUGGGAAGGAGGGACACUAUGCGAGGGAUUGUCCCCAGGGAUUCAUGGUUUGCUUCCAUUGCAACCAGACCGGCCAUCGGAAGGCCGAGUACCUACAGUUCCGGAAGGGAUCGACGUAGGGAUCUGCACCUGCUGCCCGAGUUGUUGAGGCCCGGCCAGUGAAGGCCGAGGCAUCGAAGGCUCCCGGAAGAGCCUUCCAGUUGACAGCGGAAGAGGUCUACACAGCGCCCGAUGUUGUGGCUGGUAUGUAUUCUUUCUUUUAUUUAUGCUGGGUUAUGAGAUGUUGUGCUUAUAUUGCGAUAUUCGUAGGUACUUUUCUUAUGAGUUUUGUACCUGCUUUGGUGUUAUUUGACUCGGGUGCGAGUCGGUCAUUUGUGUCUUUAGCUUUUAGUCGGCACAUCAGUACCCAGCGAGAGGCGUUGAGUCGACCUCUACGAGUUUCUAUAGCCGACGAGCGAGUGGUGUACGCCACUGAUGUGAUUCGAGGUCGUGUGCUCGAGAUUUUCGAUGUUGAGUUUCUGAUUGAUUUGGUCCCGAUUGCGAUGGGAGAUGUUUGUGUCAUAGUGGGCAUGGACUGGUUGAGCAAGUUUGGAGCGGUUAUCGACCGCUAGCGACAACUGGUGACCAUACGAGACCCUAGUGGGGGAGUUCUUACGAUUUAUGGCGAGGGUACCCGUUCUGGGCCAGCAUUCUGUUCGGCUACCAGGGCGAGACAGAGUUUACAGCAGGGCUGCAAUGGGUUUGUUGCCUAUGUGAUGGAUGUGCGAGUGGCCGGCAAGAGGCCAAGUUCGAUUGAUGAUGUUCCGAUAGUGCGCGAAUUCUCGGAUGUUUUUCCCAAGGAGUUUCUAGGUGUGCCGCCCAAGAGGCAAGUUGAGUUCCGCAUCGAUUUGAUUCCGGGGGCAGCGCCUAUCCUCAAUGGGCCUUAUCGUCUUACGCCGCCAGAGAUGCAGGAGUUAUCCUCGCAGCUUCAGGAGUUGCUUGGGAAGGGGUUUAUUAGACCGAGUAGCUCACCGUGGGGAGCGCCGAUCCUUUUUGUCAAGAAAAGGAUGGUUCACACCAGAUGUGCAUUGAUUACCGGGAGUUGAACAAGUUGNAGUUAGUAUCAGAGCCUUGGUUUGAGGGAUUCGGAUGCACCUUCGGGUGUGUCUGCACUCAAACUGAGGAUUUGAGAAAGUUUAAAUAAAAUAAACAGUUUUUCUAAAGAAGUAUGAGUCGAUACUUGAGCAUUUUGAGGAGGGAUAUCCGUGAGUUCGUGGCGAACUCGUCAUACCGGACAUUUGUCGAGC